GACCAUCGAUUUAAAAGAGAAACAAAAUGAAGAAAUGAAUAUGAUGAAACAAAAUCAAGAGAUGAUGCAAUCAGAAUUGUUCCAAAUGAGACAAAUUAUGAGAAAAUAUGCUCCUAAUGAAUUGAUGUCUCAAAAUAUUAAUGACACCUCAAGUGAACAGCCAAACUGAUUUUAUAAGUUUUUAGUAUCCUUUAAAAGUGUUUUUAACUAUCGUGUUAAUAUUUAUCAGGUUCCAAACAGUAUUGUCCAUGAACGAGUAGCACAGACAACAAGGAUACCUAGUGAUAUUGGAAAUACACCAUUUUCUCACGGUACUACUCUUCUAUAUCGUUAACAGUACUAUCUAAGUUUUCCUUUGAUUUGUUUUUUAUUAUGUUUAUUCUAACAAUUCUAAUAAUCUAUUUCAACUAGUAUAUUUUAGUUUUUCCACUGGAUCCUAUUCUUGCAAGGGGUUAAGUUUGGAACUUAUUUAGGAAUAAUGGCUAUUUUUUUGUCUUUUGGGUGAUAAAAAAUACUAUGCAAAAUUUUUAGAAAUUUCGCCCUUUUUUAUAGCACUUGUUUUCUGUUCCGAAUCAACUUUGGAUGUAUCAACUAUAUCUAUUGGUGUUCCCCUGCUUUAUCAAUGUUGUUAGAACCUGAUUGCUGCCAAGAUUCUCCCACAUCCGUUGCAAUAAUAUGAAUAUUCCUUGUAGCUUCAAUUUAACUUAGUUUUUACCUAAAAUUUUUGAGUUUCAAUGACAUGAUCGAAACUCGAUCAAGAGCAGUAGCAAGUGUUGGUUUUAAAAUUGUUUCACACUCUUGAUUUUCAAGAGUUUGUCCAUCUUUUACAACAUGAUUAACUAAAGCCAAAGCUUUUUGAUCACCUAUUGUAGCUACUAGAUCUAAGUCCCAAUCUUGCAAUUUUUCUUGAACCUCUAUAGCGAUAAUUACUUUACCAAAGUUUCCUUCCUCUCCAUUAAAAACUGAAAAAAUUCCUGUUUUUUGGUAAUUUACACUUUAAAAUUAAUCACAAAGAGCAUUGUUGUAGAGACAUAGAAAGCCAACCACCGGCAGCUAGCUUUGAGUGUAUUAGUAGUGAACAAAAAGAUGGUCUCUAGGUAUGAUGUUAUAUCUAAAUUGUAUUCUAAUACUACAAGCAUUAUUCGACACAUUACUUUUUUGUUUUUUGACAUAUAUAUUUUAUUAUUUCAGGUCAUACAAUUUGAUAGCAUGUUCAAGAUUUCGAUAUGAUGAAGAAUUGCAAAAAUUAUUUGAAGAUAUUAUUCUACUAGACUGGUUAUAUUAGUUGAAACAACACAAGUUUAUUUUUUAAGUAACAAUAUUGAUGUUUUGGAUUAGUACUUUUAUUUAUUUAAAUUUAACUGAGAAAUUUUUCAUGAACUAAUAG
Molecule: long non-coding RNA, 1387 nt
Filed under: Capsicum annuum
Lineage: Eukaryota; Viridiplantae; Streptophyta; Magnoliopsida; Solanales; Solanaceae
Description: long non-coding RNA (CANN_LNC011086)
Source: RNAcentral